Molecule: ribosomal RNA, 425 nt
Filed under: uncultured beta proteobacterium
Lineage: Bacteria; Pseudomonadati; Pseudomonadota; Betaproteobacteria
Description: bacterial SSU rRNA
Rfam family: Bacterial small subunit ribosomal RNA
Source: RNAcentral
GGGGAAUUUUGGACAAUGGCGGCAACCCUGAUCCAGCCAUGCCGCGUGAGUGAAGAAGGCCUUCGGGCUGUAAAGCUCUUUCGGACGGAAAGAAAUCGCCGCCUCUAACAUAGGCGGUGGAUGACGGUACCGUAAGAAGAAGCACCGGCUAACUACGUGCCAGCAGCCGCGGUAAUACGUAGGGUGCGAGCGUUAAUCGGAAUUACUGGGCGUAAAGCGUGCGCAGGCGGUUUGGUAAGACAGGUGUGAAAUCCCCGGGCUUAACCGGGAAUUGCGAGUGUGACUGCCAGGCUAGAGUGCGGCAGAGGGGGGUGGGAUUCCACGUGUAGCAGUGAAAUGCGUAGAGAUGUGGAGGAACACCGAUGGCGAAGGCAGCCCCCUGGGCCUGUACUGACGCUCAUGCACGAAAGCGUGGGGAGCAAACA